AUACGGAGGGUGCAAGCGUUGUUCGGAAUUACUGGGCGUAAAGCGCGUGCAGGCGGUAAGGUAAGUCAGAUGUGAAAGCCCCGGGCUCAACCCGGGAAGUGCAUUUGAUACUGCCUUUCUUGAGUAUGGGAGAGGAGAGUGGAAUUCCCAGUGUAGAGGUGAAAUUCGUAGAUAUUGGGAGGAACACCCGUGGCGAAGGCGACUCUCUGGACCAAUACUGACGCUGAGACGCGAAAGCGUGGGGAACGAACAGGAUUAGAAACCCUAGUAGUCC
RNAcentral lists this ribosomal RNA (274 nucleotides) under uncultured bacterium. RNAcentral's name for it is "partial 16S ribosomal RNA". It matches the Rfam family "Bacterial small subunit ribosomal RNA", at positions 523 to 796 of the family's 1533-position model. The record is from RNAcentral.